GUCAUCAAGGGUCACAAUGUGACGUUUGUGUGUGACGCUGACAGCAACCCGCCUCCUGCUUCCAUCACGUGGUCAGGGAAAGUAAACAGCACUACUGGGGAGCUACACAUCAUAGCAGCAGAGAAGACAACCCAUAACGGUAACUACACCUGUACCGUGGUCACUGAAACAGAUGAUGAGGAUAAACGCCUACCACUGAGGGCAUCUUUCAAGAUUACAUUUAUUGUUAAAGAUAUUUAUAUCUGUCCUCAUCCGCCUGUGUUGUACAAAAUUUCUUCAGGAUCUUGCGCAGAUGUUUCUUACUUUCUCUACAUUCUGCAUCAAACCAACCUUUUAUUUCUCUCGCCUUUUGUAUACAAUUGUAACACAGUCAAAGCCAUCAGUAAACAUUGCAAGUUUCUGUCAACAUCCUUACAGUCGGUGGCAGAAAUCCGUUAAUGGAGGAAACAAAUGCUACUUUAAAGUGUGCGAGCAAUGAGCGGUCUGGUGUAAUAAAGUACACGUGGCCAGAAAAUGCAGGCGGGUUCC
Molecule: long non-coding RNA, 528 nt
Organism: Pomacea canaliculata
Lineage: Eukaryota; Metazoa; Mollusca; Gastropoda; Architaenioglossa; Ampullariidae
Exons: 3
Source: RefSeq, a predicted model, not a curated record